CCGUGCUAGCCGGGGAGGCAGCGGUGCCCUGUACUCACAAUCCGCUAUAGUGAGGGUGAUGUCUGUUCUAGGUGCAGUGUUUGAUAGUCUGCCCGUGGGAAGCGGCGUUGAUGCUCAGGUCUUACGCAACAGGAGCCUGCGAACCGUGUCAGGGUCGGAAGGCAGCAGCACUAAGCAGUUCCCUUCUGUGUGCUGUAAGAGUGCCAGAGUGGAGUCGCAGAACACGGUAACGUGUCGGGCGGUGUAACAAAAACAGAUGCACGG
RNAcentral lists this signal recognition particle RNA (264 nucleotides) under Clostridia bacterium. RNAcentral's name for it is "signal recognition particle sRNA large type". It matches the Rfam family "Bacterial large signal recognition particle RNA". Rfam says of the family: The signal recognition particle (SRP) is a universally conserved ribonucleoprotein involved in the co-translational targeting of proteins to membranes. Archaeal SRP consists of a 7S RNA and homologues of the eukaryotic SRP19 and SRP54 proteins. The record is from RNAcentral. Lineage: Bacteria; Bacillati; Bacillota; Clostridia.